GCCCCCUUGGUGUAGUUGGUUAUCACGCGAGUCUCAUAGUCAUCUAUGACGGUCUAAACGACCGAUGCGAUCUCGAGGCCAUCAGUUCGAUCCUGAUAGGAGGCA
Non-coding RNA from Orbilia ellipsospora, 105 nucleotides. The record is from the annotation of a GenBank genome assembly. NCBI's taxonomy places the organism in Eukaryota, Fungi, Ascomycota, Orbiliomycetes, Orbiliales, Orbiliaceae.